AAAUAGGAAGCGAAGUUCGCAACUGAUUUCGACUCAGAGCUUGGUUAAAACUAACCCCUAUUUA
Molecule: transfer RNA, 64 nt
Filed under: Paralepas cf. quadrata
Lineage: Eukaryota; Metazoa; Arthropoda; Thecostraca; Heteralepadidae
Description: tRNA-Arg
Source: RNAcentral